This 465-nucleotide ribosomal RNA is filed under the name Vreelandella stevensii. RNAcentral describes it as "partial 16S ribosomal RNA". It matches the Rfam family "Bacterial small subunit ribosomal RNA", at positions 338 to 795 of the family's 1533-position model. Lineage: Bacteria; Pseudomonadati; Pseudomonadota; Gammaproteobacteria; Oceanospirillales; Halomonadaceae. The record is from RNAcentral.
CCUACGGGCGGCAGCAGUGGGGAAUAUUGGACAAUGGGCGAAAGCCUGAUCCAGCCAUGCCGCGUGUGUGAAGAAGGCCUUCGGGUUGUAAAGCACUUUCAGUGGGGAAGAAAGCCUAGGGGCUAAUACCCUCGAGGAAGGACAUCACCCACAGAAGAAGCACCGGCUAACUCCGUGCCAGCAGCCGCGGUAAUACGGAGGGUGCGAGCGUUAAUCGGAAUUACUGGGCGUAAAGCGCGCGUAGGCGGUCUGAUAAGCCGGUUGUGAAAGCCCCGGGCUCAACCUGGGAACGGCAUCCGGAACUGUCAGGCUAGAGUGCAGGAGAGGAAGGUAGAAUUCCCGGUGUAGCGGUGAAAUGCGUAGAGAUCGGGAGGAAUACCAGUGGCGAAGGCGGCCUUCUGGACUGACACUGACGCUGAGGUGCGAAAGCGUGGGUAGCAAACAGGAUUAGAUACCCUAGUAGUC